This 439-nucleotide ribosomal RNA is filed under the name Raecius asper. RNAcentral's name for it is "partial 16S ribosomal RNA". Lineage: Eukaryota; Metazoa; Arthropoda; Arachnida; Araneae; Udubidae. The record is from RNAcentral.
CUCUAUUAGAAUUAAUUAAUAGUAAAAUCUGCUCAAUGAAUUAUAAAUAGCCGCAAUUUCGUGCUAAGGUAGCAUAAUAAUUUGUCUUUUUAUUAAAGACUAGAACAAACGAUUAAACAUUUAAAUUUAUCUUUCAAUUUUAAUCCUUUAAUUUUCUUUAAAUGUAAAAAACCAUUUAUUCUAAAGAAAGACGACAAGACCCUAUUGAAUUUUACUUAAGUUUAACUGGGGAAGUUUAUUAAAAUUAAUUUUAAUUAAAAUCAUUCUAUAAAAGACCUAAUAUAAUUAAAUUUUUGAAUAAAUUACCAUAGGGAUAACAGCGUAAUUAUUUUCUAAAGUUCUUAUUUACAAAAUAACUUGCGACCUCGAUGUUGAAUAAUUCUUCUGUUUCUCGCAAAAGAGAUUUCAUGAAAGUCUGUUCGACUUUUAAUUAAUUACA